GCAAAACUUUAUAUUUUUCUAACCUGCGGCUGGUUGAAUGGCUGUUUGCGUGGGACUUUAUAACACGCUCCCAUAGAUCCCAAAUUUCCGAUCGAACGAGCAAAAAUUUUCGAAGAAUAAUAAUUUAGCCUCCAGCUGACACAUCGUAUACAUACAUGCCAUUGACUGAAUGAGUUAUCUCCGAUAAAUACUAUGUUUCCAUGCCUGCAUUACCGACUAGCGAACGAACAAAAGACACCCCGUGGAGCAAUAUUGUUUCACCCUUAAAUGUGUUUCUUCUCUUGUAUCACAGUCUCGUGUUACCAUGAAUUGAUCCGAUUAUGGUUGACAUGCUCUCUGUAUCGUGUAAAAUUUGGCAAGCAAGCAGAUAAAUGGGGAACGUCAAAAUUGAAAAGAGUGGAUUGGACGAAUUAAUUAAGGUAAAUACCGUCUUGUGUGGAGUUUCGAAGGAAAAUGAUUCAAAGAAAGCCUGUAUGAUAGUCCACAAAGGAAGGCAUAUCAUUUUAAGCUGUGCAAUUUUCCCUUCUAAGUUGGCCUCAACUUGCUGAGGCAGCACAACCAAUUGAACUGGUGCCAAUGCAGAACGCAAUGUGGG
RNAcentral lists this small RNA (595 nucleotides) under Histoplasma capsulatum. Its description in RNAcentral is "hypothetical RNA". Lineage: Eukaryota; Fungi; Ascomycota; Eurotiomycetes; Onygenales; Ajellomycetaceae. RNAcentral also lists the same sequence under 1 other name. The record is from RNAcentral.